This 99-nucleotide non-coding RNA is filed under the name uncultured Ferdinandcohnia sp. RNAcentral describes it as "SAM riboswitch (S box leader)". It matches the Rfam family "SAM riboswitch aptamer (S box leader)". Rfam says of the family: The SAM riboswitch is found upstream of a number of genes which code for proteins involved in methionine or cysteine biosynthesis in Gram-positive bacteria. The SAM riboswitch acts at the level of transcription termination control. The record is from RNAcentral. Lineage: Bacteria; Bacillati; Bacillota; Bacilli; Caryophanales; Bacillaceae.
UCUUAUCCAGAGAGGUGGAGGGACUGGCCCUUUGAAGCCUCGGCAACAGACAUAUUGUACUGUGCCAAUUCCAGCAAGCUUUUAGCUUGAAAGAUAAGA